UACGUAGGGGGCAAGCGUUGUCCGGAUUUAUUGGGCGUAAAGAGCGUGUAGGCGGCUAGAUAGGUCCGUUGUGAAAACUCGAGGCUCAACCUCGAGACGCCGAUGGAAACCCUCUAGCUAGAGUCCGGAAGAGGAGAGUGGAAUUCCCGGUGUAGCGGUGAAAUGCGCAGAUAUCGGGAAGAACACCCGUGGCUAAGGCGGCUCUCUAGUACGGUACUGACGCUGAGACGCGAAAGCGUGGGGAGCGAACAGG
This 253-nucleotide ribosomal RNA is filed under the name uncultured bacterium. RNAcentral's name for it is "partial 16S ribosomal RNA". It matches the Rfam family "Bacterial small subunit ribosomal RNA", at positions 524 to 776 of the family's 1533-position model. The record is from RNAcentral.